GCAUAUCAAUAAGCGGAGGAAAAGAAACCAACAGGGAUUGCCCUAGUAACGGCGAGUGAACAGGCAAGAGCUCAGAUUUGAAAGGCACUUUUGUGCCGUUGUAUUCUGAAGUUAGGGUCCUGAGAAACGAUGCUUAAGUCUUCUGGAAAGGAGCGCCAUGGAGGGUGAUAGCCCCGUCUAGCAUUGACCUCAUAUAGGAUCUUAACAUGGAGUCGAGUUGUUUGGGAAUGCAGCUCAAAUGGGUGGUAUGCUCCAUCUAAAGCUAAAUAUCUGCGAGAGACCGAUAGUAAACAAGUACUGUGAGGGAAAGAUGAAAAGAACUUUGAAAAGAGAGUGAAAAAGUACGUGAAAUUGUUGAAAUGGAAGGGUAGGCCGCUAACCAUGUAGAGCCGUGUUUGGGGGGAAGAUAAAUGCUGUAGAAUGUAGCUCCUCGGAGUAUUAUAGAUGCAGUUCAUAUUCCCACCCGAGCGCGAGGUCUC
RNAcentral lists this ribosomal RNA (479 nucleotides) under Starmerella bacillaris. Its description in RNAcentral is "partial large subunit ribosomal RNA". It matches the Rfam family "Eukaryotic large subunit ribosomal RNA", at positions 38 to 542 of the family's 3401-position model. Lineage: Eukaryota; Fungi; Ascomycota; Dipodascomycetes; Dipodascales; Trichomonascaceae. The record is from RNAcentral.